This 1202-nucleotide ribosomal RNA is filed under the name uncultured dinoflagellate. RNAcentral describes it as "SSU rRNA". It matches the Rfam family "Eukaryotic small subunit ribosomal RNA", at positions 577 to 1804 of the family's 1831-position model. The record is from RNAcentral. Lineage: Eukaryota; Dinophyceae.
CGGUAAUUCCAGCUCCAGUAGCGUGUAUAAAAGUUGCUGCGGUUAAAAAGCUCGUAGUUGGUCAUUCGCUCUAGAUGGCAGGUCCGCCGUCUGGGUGAGUAUCUGGCUUGUCUCGGGCAUCUUCAUGGGGAACGAAACUGCACUUGACGGUGUGGAUCGGUAGCCAUGAUUUAACUUUGAGGAAAUCAAUGUGUUUCAAGCAAGCAUGCGCCUUGAAUCCAUUAGCAUGGAAUACGUUUAUAGGACCGUUGUUAUUUUUUGUUGGUUUAUAGAAUAAUAGUAAUGGUUGACAGGGAUAGUUGGGGGUAUUUGUACUUAACUGCCAGAGGUGAAAUUCUUGGAUUUGUUAAAGCCAUAGUACUGCGAAGGCAUUUGCCAAGGAUGUUUUCAUUGAUCAAGAACGAAAGUUAGGGGAUCGAAGACGAACAGAUACCGUCCUAGUCUCAACCAUAAACCAUGCCAACUAGAGAUUGAAGGUCGUUAUUCAUAUGACUUCUUCGGCACCGUAUGAGAAAUCAAAGUCUUCGAGUUCCGGGGGGGGGGGGUAUGGUCGCAAGGCUGAAACUUCAAAGAAUUGACGGAAGGGCACCACCAGGAGUGGAGCCUGCGGCUUAAUUUGACUCAACACGGGGAAACUUACCAGGUCCAGACAUAGAAAGGAUUGACAGAUUGAUAGCUUCUUCUUGAUUCUAUGGGUGGUGGUGCAUGGCCGUUCCUAGUUGGUGGAUUGAUUUGUCUGGUUAAUUCCGUUAACGAACGAAACCUUAACCUGCUAAAUAGUUACACGUAACCUCGGUUACGCGGGCGAGUUCUUAGAGGGACUUUGUGUGUCUAAUGCAAGAAAGUUUGAGGCAAUAACAGGUCUGUGAUGCCCUUAGAUGUCUUGGGCUGCACGCGCGCUACACUGAUGUGAGCAACAAGUGUCAACCUUGCCUGGAAAGGUUUGGUAUUUUUUCAAACUGCGUCGUGAUGGGGAUAGAUUGUUGUAAUUAUUAAUCUUUAACGAGGAAUUCCUAGUGAGUGCGAAUCAUCAGUUCGUGCUGAUUAUGUCCCUGCCCUUUGUACACACCGCCCGUCGCUCCUACCGAUUGAGUGGUCCGGUGAAUAAUUCGGACUGCAAUGCAAUUCAGUUAAUGAGUUUGUUGUGGAAAGUUUAGUGAACCUUAUCACUUAGACGAAGGAGAAGUCGUAACAAGGUAACC